AGUGAACGCUGGCGGUAGGCCUAACACAUGCAAGUCGAACGGCAGCACAGUAAGAGCUUCCUCUUACGGGUGGCGAGUGGCGGACGGGUGAGGAAUACAUCGGAAUCUACUUUUUCGUGGGGGAUAACGUAGGGAAACUUACGCUAAUACCGCAUACGACCUACGGGUGAAAGCAGGGGAUCUUCGGACCUUGCGCGAUUGAAUGAGCCGAUGUCGGAUUAGCUAGUUGGCGGGGUAAAGGCCCACCAAGGCGACGAUCCGUAGCUGGUCUGAGAGGAUGAUCAGCCACACUGGAACUGAGACACGGUCCAGACUCCUACGGGAGGCAGCAGUGGGGAAUAUUGGACAAUGGGCGCAAGCCUGAUCCAGCCAUACCGCGUGGGUGAAGAAGGCCUUCGGGUUGUAAAGCCCUUUUGUUGGGAAAGAAAAGCAGCAGGUUAAUACCCCGCUGUUCUGACGGUACCCAAAGAAUAAGCACCGGCUAACUUCGU
Molecule: ribosomal RNA, 491 nt
Filed under: uncultured bacterium
Lineage: Bacteria
Description: partial 16S ribosomal RNA
Rfam family: Bacterial small subunit ribosomal RNA
Source: RNAcentral